AGAGUUUGAUCAUGGCUCAGGAUGAACGCUGGCGGCGUGUCUAAGGCAUGCAAGUCGAGCGAGAACUUUGAUCUUCGGAUCAAAGGGACAGCGGCAAACGGGAGAGUAACACCUUAGUAACCUACCCCAAAGAGAGGGAUAACUCAUCGAAAGAUGAGCUAAUACCUCAUGUGCUAUUGUAUUUAAUUUUAUAAUAGUAAAGUUACGACGCUUUGGGAGGGGCUUAGGUCCUAUUAGCUAGUUGGUGAGAUAAUAGCUCACCAAGGCAACGACGGGUAGCGGGUGUGAGAGCAUGAUCCGUCCCACUGGAACUGAGAUACGGUCCAGACUCCUACGGGAGGCUGCAGUCAAGAAUCUUCCCCAAUGCGCGAAAGCGUGAGGGAGCGACGCCGCGUGUAGGAUGAAGCCCUUCGGGGUGUAAACUACUUUUAUCAAGGACGAACAAAUGACGGUACUUGAUGAAUAAGGGGCUGCCAACUUCGUGCCAGCAGCAGCGGUAAUACGAAGGCCCCAAGCGUUAUCCGGAAUUACUGGGCGUAAAGCGUCUGUAGGCGGUUAGGUAAGUUAACGGUUAAAUCCUGGAGCUCAACUCCAGAACAGCCGCUAAUACUAUCUGACUAGAGGAUGGGAGAGGUCAACGGAAUUGCCGGUG
RNAcentral lists this ribosomal RNA (652 nucleotides) under uncultured bacterium. RNAcentral describes it as "bacterial SSU rRNA". It matches the Rfam family "Bacterial small subunit ribosomal RNA", at positions 8 to 675 of the family's 1533-position model. The record is from RNAcentral.